UCAUAUACUAGUGGCGGAUCCAGAGCCUGAGCCUGAGAGGGGCACUUGUAGAUUAUUUAAAUAAAUAUUCCAUGCACAAUAACCACUACUCCUCUGUGUAGUGGUUAUGGUGCCAGGAGCGUCGGCAUCCCUCCCAGAGUAAGUCGACAAACCGUUUAAGAACAGUUUGACAACUUACCUGGAGUCUGCUGGGAUAUGGGGCUGUAGUAGGGUAUAGGAGCAGUGGUGCAAUGUGUGUGAAAGGUUCAGUGUGUGGGUGGGCAGUGUGUAAAUGUGUAUGGUGUGUGUGUGUGGGAGCAGUGUGUGAAUGUGUA
Molecule: long non-coding RNA, 314 nt
Filed under: Pelobates cultripes (western spadefoot toad)
Lineage: Eukaryota; Metazoa; Chordata; Amphibia; Anura; Pelobatidae
Source: RNAcentral